RNAcentral lists this long non-coding RNA (406 nucleotides) under Felis catus (domestic cat). RNAcentral's name for it is "lncRNA (ENSFCAG00000040530.2)". The record is from RNAcentral. Lineage: Eukaryota; Metazoa; Chordata; Mammalia; Carnivora; Felidae.
CACGCUUCCUCUCCGCAACAUGCAAAUGUCGGGCUGUCACAGAUGGCUGCAAAGUCACAGCCCGGUGUUCCCAGCAGCGAGCGUGGGAUUUCAUAGGGCUAGGCCUUCAUUUUGUAAACCCUCCUCGACUGCAGUUGGGCUGUUUUGAAGAGAUCUCUGUGACAGAACGACAGCCAGAGAUGUUGCUACAUCUUGCACGUGCGGGCUCCACGGCCCCCGAGAAACCACAGUGUCCCGUGGGAACACCCACCCGCAGCACCUGGGGACCACGAAGAUGGAGACAGGACCCGUCUCCAGGGAGCGGAGAAAUGCAGGCCGGUCCCCCAGCCCCUCCCAGGGCCCAUCUGCGCUGAGUGACAAUCUCCUCCUAAUGAGAAGCAAUAAAGGCUAAUUAUCCACAGUUUCA